UGCUUAAAAUUUCUUAGUAUUUUAUUCAAACAAAAAAUAUUUUCUUCGAUUUUUUUAAGGAAAGUUUAAUAAUUAUAAUCGCAAAAAAUCCUUCAUCCAUGCCUUUACGAAUUCUAUCUCACAGACCUGUGUAAAAUUUCAUGAAGGUCGAUUGAGUAAUUCUCUAGAUAUCUUUCCAACCGAUUUCAUAAACACAGUUUCGAGAAAAACGCGUUUAAAGACAGCAUCCUGAAGAAAUGCGAAAGUGACUGCCCAGGGAAGAGUUUUCAGUGACCCGUAACUGGCAAAUACCAUUGCUGUAAGGCAAAUAUAAGAAUAAAAAUAUACGCUGAAACAGAAAUACAUUUUUUAAUAAUAAUUUUUAUUAAUUUACAAACUAAAAUAACUAAUUUCUCUCACCAAAUACUCUAACACCACAUCCCACAAAAAGUGUACCACUGUACGUUGAUUACUAUGCUGAGGAAGCGAGCGCAAUUUUCGCGUCUCUUUGCCACCACACAAUCGCCGCCACACUCACGGCCAACGCCACUAUCAUUGCCUCUAUCGCUGCUGCCACGCCGUACUCACACUCUCCGACGAGCGCAGCCAUGAACAAGCGCCGCAACAACAAGCCAGAGCCAACUAACUGCACAUACACACACGCAGCAUAAUGGAAUGGGUGGAGGGGCAGACUGGCUGAUAACUAUAUGUAUAUGUAUUCGUAUAUAUAUAUAUAUAUAUAUGUGUGUAUAUGUGUGCAUAGCGAACGCAGCGCAGCGCGGCACCACAUAGCAAACGCCAAGAUACAAUACAGACACGUCGACUACAAACAAACUUAUAAAUUGUACAUGUGCUUAUGUAUGUUUGAGUGUAUGUAUGUAUGUAUGAGUGAACGUAGGUAUAUGUAUGUAUGCAUGUAUAUAUGGCUGUGCAUACGUUGAACAGCAUACAACUUUAGCGUUCGUUCGUGUACACUUGGCUUCGCUUGGCGCUGACACAGCGGUGACGGCACGUUCAGAUUCAUUCUGCGAUUCCUCGAGGACGUAACGAAAAACGUCGGUGUGCGCGUCAUACUAUACCGCCGAACAGAACAGACAAGGCAUAACAGACAACUAAUAACUAACCAAGUGUAGAACCAAAAAAAAAAAGUCAGCAAGUAAGCAUUGAUUGCAAGCAACAAAUCAAGCUCGACGCAGCACGACCUUUUAAAUAAUAGCGCAAACAAUAACAACAACUAACAGACAGUGAUUUACUUUGCAUUUCGGGCAGAUUAAGAAUACGAGGUAACAGCAGCAGAAGUAGAAGCAGUGUAAUUGGAUUAAAAAUAUAAGCAAAAAAUCAGUUUUGAAGUAGCCAAAAAGCUACAAAGUGAAGUUGAAAAGUAAUCAAAAAAAUUAAAAAAAAAAAUUAAAAUUAAAAAAAGUUAAAUACAAAAUAAAUUUUCGAAAUUAAGCAUUUCUAAAAACUAGAAAGAUUUUGAAAAAAUUUAAAUUUCGAAAAAUUCAGAAAUUCAAAAAAUUGAAAAAUAAUAAUAAUACUUGCAAGCGCCUAGUCUUCAGCAUUUACUGUUUGCCGGCUUCCAGACAAUAACAGAAUAACACAAGUAACGUACAAGCAAGCGCCUGGCGUAGCUGCAACAACAAAUCAAAUAAAUUGUGUGUGUGCGAGCGAUUUUUGAGUGAUUUCACGGCAAAACUGCUUAUUAGCAACAAAAUAUCAAAUCUGCUUUCUAAUAUAGCUUACGAGCGGAAGUCGUACUCACGUGUGCCAGCAAGCUUAGGCAGCCUAUAUGUGUGUGCAUGUGCGUGUGCAUUUGCCAGUGUAUAUAUUUAGGCGAAUUCGCGUGCUAAUGCAGUGAAACCGAGAGCAAAAACAAAAAAAGCAUACUAGAAAUAAACACGAAAAAAAUGCAAAAACUGUGAAAUACGAAAGAAGCACGAUUUCCGCUUAACAACCGAGAGUUAUGCCACACGCAACGGCAUAAACAAAUGCUGCAAAGGAAUAAGAGCAAAAAAAGCAGCAGAAAGCUACAAACAACUUUUCCAACAAAAAAACGAAAAUGUAUAAUACAUUGUAAAAUAAUUUACAAAAAACAGUGGUCAAAUAAAACAAAAUUUGUAUAAACAAACAUUUAAAAAAAAGUUAUACACAAUUAACAACAACAAAAAUAGUCAAGCGGCGCACGUGGAACUAAAAAUUUCAAAUUUCAUUGACGAAAUGCGUUAAAUACAAAAACAAAUAAAACUUAAUUUUUAACAAAACACGCAAACAGCACAGCGCUACUAAGCGCAAUUGAAGGAAAUAAAUAAAUUCGCUGAUUGCGCACGAAAUUAACUAGAAAUCACGUGUGUGAGAUUAAAUUCUUUGCGGCAAAAAUAAAUACGAAAAAAAGCAAGCCAACAAAAAAAUAAUUUAAGUCAUAAAACCAUACCUAAAUCUAGUAAUUGUGCUAAAACUAUAAAUAGCUUGAAUUUAGCUGACUAACUGCGGCCUAAAGUUGGUCAAGGAUAUCGCCAUAGCGCAGCGCAAGCGUGCACAAGAGCGGCAAUAAAAGGCAGCGAUUUCAGUUUUUACUGCUAAUAAAAAAAGUAAGUCUGCUUUUCGCGCAAAUUCAGUAGCAAAUUCGUAAUUUUUUCAGUGGAAAAUAUUUAUGUUAAAAAAGCCCAUUACAUGUGGGUUGAACACGUUUUUUAAUUGCAGUUUUUGUAAUAUUUAAUAAUAGUUUAGUAAAAUUUAUGGUUGCGAAUGAAAUUUUGUGAGCCGUAUGAGGGCCAAAAUUUGUAAUUAAUAUAAACAAUUUUGGUUAUUUGACAAAUAUAUAUGAUAAUUUCACUAAAAACCUAUUUUCAAUAAUAUAUUUGGAGAAAAACAGUCGUAUAAUUAUGUUCAGGUAUCUCGAUUACCAUAUGAAAAAAAUUUAAGCGUAGGCCCAAAACUUCCUAUUGAAGAACACUGCUUUAGUUACCACACUGAACUUUUAAACUGCAUUCUUGAAUAUCUCAUAAAAUCGCACUUAACUCUUUCGACUUCUAUAUCGUUCCCCCCAAAGGUAAUACUUGGAUUCUUGCUCCAAUAAACUUGUGCCCAACGUUUUUUCCAAUCCUCGAAACAGUUGUUAAAAUUACUUUCCGGAAUAGAUUUCAAUGGGCGUAGCGAUACACCUUUAAUGACUUCAAAUGACCCAAAACAGUUUCCGGGACGGUCGUUUAAGUUUGCUGAACUUCUGGGGCUAGUCACACGAAACUAAAUCAGGCGAAUAGGGCGGUUGCAGCACGAUAGUGGCUGAAAAGCUCACGAAGAAUCAAUGCAGUAUGCGACGCUGCAUUAUUGUGGUGCAAAAACCACUGGGUUUCGGCUCAAAACUGCGGCCUCUUUUUACGAAUAGCUUCGCGUCAGCGACGCAUAAAACUCAAAUAGUAUUCCUUGUUGAUAGUUUGGCCGGUCGGAAGGAAUGCGGACCGCGCUACACCUCGACAAUCGAAGAAAACUGUCAACAUAACAUUGGUUUUUGACAUGAUAUUACAUGGCUUCUUGGCUGCGGCUCAGCUUUGCCACGAUAUUCGGCUGAUUGAUCGUCUGUAACGGUUGCAAGCAUAGAAGCAAGACUCAGCGAUCGUAGUAACACGUUUCAUAAUAUACUGAUAGUCGCUAAGCAUUGUUUCGCGGACGUUAACGCGACAGUGUUUUUCGAAAAAAAUUUGUAAUUUUAGAACAAAUCACAUUUUUCAAGCCCAAAUGAUUUUUCAAAAUGGUUUUCACUGAUCCUUUCGCUACUUUAACGAUGCCACUAAGACCUCUGAUCGUCGAUUUUCGAUCAUCGUAAAAAUCGACGAAUACGUUUUAUGAACUUCAGAAAGUCAAGCGGAUACUAAACACUGUGACUUUUGGCACAGAUGUCACUGAUAGUCAUACCAACAUAGAAAAAAAUAUCUCAACGAAUGCGUUUUUGCGCGAAAUUUAAAUGUAAAAGUCUUACUAUUUUUUGCCCACAGUAUAGUAUCUAUCUAAAUUGACAAAAUUUUUUUCUAAAAUCCAUUUACCAAGAUUUUUAGCCUCCCACACGUAAAUUAAAUAUGCAAAUUCUGACACUUUAUGGCUAAACUCUAUAAACGCACCCAGCAUCAUAAAAAAUAUUGCGCAAUAAAAACAUAAAAAUGCAAUAAAAAUUAAAAAAAAAAUAAACAAAAUUAACAAAAUAAUAAAAUGUUAAAAUUUUAAGCACAAAAUAUUCAAAUAAACUUCUAAAGGUACAUCAAUAAAAAUAAAAAUAAAAAUAAAAAUACUUUUAUGAUACAUAUAAAAUGCAGCAGCGCCUUAUUUUUUUAUAACUGUGUAUAGAAGUUGAAGUAGCCUUACGGUUAAUUAAAUAUUUUGAUGGAAAUUUGUUUGCUAUGUAAUUAUUUUAUUAGCAUUUUAUAAUUACAAAUAAAAACGGGAAAAUUUCAGUAAAUCCAAGCUGGAAUAAUUUGAAUGUAUUACUUAUGAAUCUACUCAGCCACAAUAAUUAAAAAAUUAGCAUUUUCCUUUAAGUGUAACGUAUGUAUAUAUCCUAGACUUAUAUAUUCGAAAUUGAAGUUGAGUUAGUCGAAUCAAAUAUAAUUUUUAAUUUGAAUUUCAUAUCAUUUUCACUGAAAAUUAUAUUCAUUCUGUAAUUAUGCCAUUUAUACAACAUCAAAACAACUUAAUUAGCUGAGCCAAUUAACUUACAAAUUGAGUCAUUAAGUGCGGUGUUCCCAAACAAACAAUUAAGCUAUUACAUACACUAGACGAUUAGGAAAAAUAUACAAAAUUUUAAUUACUAAUUGUCAAUUAGUUAAUUGCGAUAGUUUUUGUUGCAAUUAAGGCUUGGAAUAUUCAAAUUAA
Molecule: long non-coding RNA, 4842 nt
Organism: Bactrocera dorsalis (oriental fruit fly)
Lineage: Eukaryota; Metazoa; Arthropoda; Insecta; Diptera; Tephritidae
Exons: 2
Source: RefSeq, a predicted model, not a curated record